GGGCAGGCAGUAGCUCAGCAGUUCCUUCAACUGCAUUGUGAUUUCAUUACACUCUUGGGGGUGAUUCAAGAGCCACAAGUGCUCCCCCGUCCUUUA
This 96-nucleotide vault RNA is filed under the name Bison bison bison. Its description in RNAcentral is "Vault RNA (ENSBBBG00000003644.1)". It matches the Rfam family "Vault RNA". Rfam says of the family: This family of RNAs are found as part of the enigmatic vault ribonucleoprotein complex. The complex consists of a major vault protein (MVP), two minor vault proteins (VPARP and TEP1), and several small untranslated RNA molecules. Lineage: Eukaryota; Metazoa; Chordata; Mammalia; Artiodactyla; Bovidae. The record is from Rfam by way of RNAcentral.